This 30-nucleotide non-coding RNA is filed under the name Actinoplanes sp. SE50/110. Lineage: Bacteria; Bacillati; Actinomycetota; Actinomycetes; Micromonosporales; Micromonosporaceae. The record is from RNAcentral.
UAGUCGUCCCAGGUGCGCUGCGCGACCAGC